This 253-nucleotide ribosomal RNA is filed under the name uncultured bacterium. RNAcentral describes it as "partial 16S ribosomal RNA". It matches the Rfam family "Bacterial small subunit ribosomal RNA", at positions 524 to 776 of the family's 1533-position model. The record is from RNAcentral.
UACAGAGGUGGCAAGCGUUGUUCGGAAUUACUGGGCGUAAAGGGCGCGUAGGUGGCCUUCUUAGUCAGACGUGAAAUCCCCGGGCUUAACUCGGGAACUGCGCCCGAUACUGCAGUGCUUGAGGGAGACAGAGGUAAGCGGAACUGAUGGUGGAGCGGUGAAAUGCGUUGAUAUCAUCAGGAACACCGGUGGCGAAAGCGGCUUACUGGGUCUCUUCUGACGCUGAGAAACGAAAGCUAGGGGAGCGAAGGGG